Long non-coding RNA from Octodon degus (degu), 161 nucleotides. RefSeq lists it as uncharacterized. The transcript has 3 exons. Lineage: Eukaryota; Metazoa; Chordata; Mammalia; Rodentia; Octodontidae. The record is from RefSeq and is a predicted model, not a curated record.
GUCUUGGUCUCCAGUGGCAAUGCCAGACUGUCUGCUUUCCACGUCACUCAACACCCCUGAGGAAUGAGGAUGAGGGAGCGAAGCCGACUCUGAGUCACAGAAACUCCUUCUGAAGGACAGGAAUACAUCACAGACUCCUUGGACAGGUCGGGAUUGAGGAG